GACGGAAGGUGCAAGCGUUGCUCGGAAUCACUGGGCGUAAAGGGUGCGUAGGUGGUUUGUUAAGUCUGAUGUGAAAGCCCUGGGCUCAACCUGGGAAUGGCAUUGGAUACUGGCGAGCUAGAGUGCGGUAGAGGGUAGUGGAAUUCCCGGUGUAGCAGUGAAAUGCGUAGAGAUCGGGAGGAACAUCUGUGGCGAAGGCGACUACCUGGACCAGCACUGACACUGAGGCACGAAAGCGUGGGGAGCAAACAGG
RNAcentral lists this ribosomal RNA (253 nucleotides) under uncultured bacterium. RNAcentral describes it as "partial 16S ribosomal RNA". It matches the Rfam family "Bacterial small subunit ribosomal RNA", at positions 524 to 776 of the family's 1533-position model. The record is from RNAcentral.